UGUCGCUGGGAUCCUCUCUGGUAAACUUGAUGUUGUUGUCCACUGAGUCCACAGAGUUGAUGUGUCUUGUGAAAGCUUCCACUUGAGCAAGAAAAUAAUUAUUAGGCAAUGAUGUAAAGCCUGGAACUCAACACUACUCCAGACAUUUGAUUUGAGAAAGCUUUCUGGAUGGGAAGUGAAACGUCUUCAAACUUUGGAAAAAAAUUCCAGUUGUUUUUUUUAUUUGGGGGGGAUUAUAUUCAGCACCAAUGUUCCUCCUAAUUCUUCAUGUCUCUGAGUAAACACACAAACUCCCUGAGUAUUCACCUGACCUCUGUGAGCAACAUCACAUGUGCACACUGAGGCUACAUUACACCUGUCCAACACCUGAGAUUAUAACAAGUUACAUGGUUUACUAAAAGAAUCAAAAUACAGCAAUAAUCUCUUUUAGAUUACCUAGUUUAGAAACAAUUAAUUUAGCCCGAUCACAUAAAAAAGACAACAGUAGACUCUCACUAUUGGACUGUAAUGUAGCCAUGGGGAAUGGUGAAAGCAUUUCUGCUGGAAUGUCAGUCCUUUUUGUGAUACUUUGUGUUUCUAUACACUGAGGAUGUGGUUGGUAUGGCUUUGUCCAGUGAAGAAGAUCUGAACUAAAGCAUGCUGGAUCCCUUCCCUUCCAUUGCUGGCAGUAAGGUCAUCAUGGUCUGCUCCAUCCUCCUUCCCUGUGUCGGAUCUAUGAACAAGGAAACAUUUGUGACUCCAUGUCCCAGCAGGCUUUGCACCUGCCUUUCUGUUCUGUGUACAGGCUCCAGCAGUCUUAGCUCCUCCCACGCAGUAUAAAGAGAGUGGAGCUCAAACCAUGCUCUUCUUUAGCCGCUGAUUUCUGAGAGCACAUUCUGACUGCUUUUGAGACACUUACUGGCAAAUCCUCCUCCCCACCUCACUGGAAGCCAUCAAUGCACGGUCUUGCAGUCUUUGGCUCUAUAAUUACUGCCAACACAACAUGGAUACCAGAUUGAAUGCUCCUGUAAGAAUGCUAACCUCUGAUCAAGAUUUCUUUCUCUGGACCCAGGACAUUGUGACAGGGCACGCUUUGAAGGUUGUGCUGGAAACAAAGAAAGACAAUCUUUCUAUUUCAAUCAGGUCUAACUGUGGCAGGAUCCAAACAGCCUGAAAGCUUCCCAUACCUCCACCCUCACCAGACUUCAGCUCCUUGGCCUCCUGGAUUUGAGCAACAAGACUUUGGAGCCUUUGUGACGCAGCCGUUCUCCGCUCCUCCAAAACACUCCUUUGUUCUCUUGAAGAAGUCUGCCUACUUGUUGCGGGGCUUCUACUAUCUCCUCAUUCCCCGUGAUCAGCUCCAUUCUCUGCUGAAGUUCUCUCCUACUGCAGAUGAGACCAGAGUAAAACCCACAUGAGGUCCAUGUACCGCUAAUCACACAAUAAAUCAGAUGAGUUCAGACUUUCAGGAUGAAAGCUGAAGACGUCUCCCUCUGCUGCUGUUCCUGCAUCCGUCUUUAAGGCUCCAAGCCCACUUCCCUGCUGGUGGUUCUGCCCGUACGCUCUGUGUUCCCUCAUCAUGUUCAGGUUCCUCUAGUUGGGUCAACUAACCUCCUUCACUCUGCUGAAGACUAACAAAACUCAGUUUUUACCUGUUUUAUUUUCUAUGAUGAAAUGUGACUCUGCAUGCCGUGCUGGCGUUUAAAUGUUUAACUCUGAGGUUCUGGACUAGUCCAAAAAUAAAACCUAUUUCUAUUUAUGUAAACAUGAAGUAAUAUACUGAGGAAAAAUAAAGUCUUUUUCUGUAAGAACCGGGCUCCUGGUGGUUUGAAGAGCUUCAGUGGCUUCAUGAAGCAGAGCCGUGUGAGGAGACUCUGCAGGUGAUGAUCUGUGGAGCAGAACCAAGAGCCUUCAGACCAACAAACCACCUCCUGAUCAGCCCUCUGCCUCAGCUGGAGCUUGAGCUUCUGGCUCAUUGCUGGAGUUUUUUUUUUUUUUUUUUACCAAAAUCUGUCAUUUUUAUGACACAAAUGGCGCCCGAGAACCCUUUCUGGUGUGAUGAGCGGUGGCUCAGAGGAGUAAGAAGUGAGCUGUGGAGUCACAGGUUGCAGGUUCACCUCCUGGACUAGACCACUUUUACCUCCAUUUUCCCUCUAUUGAAAGCAAAAAGCAGCAAGAUGUCCUCUGGAGUUGAACCUGCAACCUUUAGAUAACAGUCAGCCAACCAGCAUGUCUUCUUACUCCCUGAGCUACUCGCUCAUCUACCAAAACAUCCACGUUUCUCGUAUUUGACUUAAAUUUCGGGGUGUUUCUGCAAAAAGAGGCGUCGACAUCCCAAAAAGGGGCGUCGACAUCCCAAACCUUCGUCUCCUCCUGGAAAACAGCCCAGCAGGUCCAACCAGAACUCUGAGCAGCUGGGUUCUGCUCCACAGCUUCUGCUCUGGCUUCACUUCAGAAGCCAGUUUCUCCUCAGAACAUGAAAAACUGUCUUUUUUAAUUUUUUUUUUAUUUCUGUCAGUCUGUCCUCACAUGCUGGAAAUGGUCUAUGUUUUAAAAUGAUCAGUUUAACUCUUAAAAUCUUUCCAACCAGUACUUUGAGUUUGAAGCCUGAGAAGGUCCAACACCGCCUGGAGCUCUGAUUCUGGUCCAGUUCAUGAAAUACAGAUAAAAUAGGUGGAUAUUUGCUAAAUAUUGAAGAGCUACUUACCUGGUGAGGAAACAGACGUGUUGAAGAGGAAUAAAAGUCCAAUUUAAAUCAAGUUGCAAUAGUUAUGCAUUUAAAAAAGGUAAACU
Fundulus heteroclitus (mummichog) is the source of this 2772-nucleotide long non-coding RNA. RefSeq lists it as uncharacterized. The record is from RefSeq and is a predicted model, not a curated record. NCBI's taxonomy places the organism in Eukaryota, Metazoa, Chordata, Actinopteri, Cyprinodontiformes, Fundulidae. The transcript has 4 exons.